UACGAAGGGGGCUAGCGUUGCUCGGAAUUACUGGGCGUAAAGCGCACGUAGGCGGAUUGUUAAGUCGGGGGUGAAAUCCUGGAGCUCAACUCCAGAACUGCCUUCGAUACUGGCGAUCUCGAGUUCGGGAGAGGUGAGUGGAACUGCGAGUGUAGAGGUGAAAUUCGUAGAUAUUAGCAAGAACACCAGUGGCGAAGGCGGCUCACUGGCCCGGUACUGACGCUGAGGUACGAAGCGUGGGGAGCAAACAGGAUUAGAAACCCCGAG
RNAcentral lists this ribosomal RNA (267 nucleotides) under uncultured bacterium. Its description in RNAcentral is "partial 16S ribosomal RNA". It matches the Rfam family "Bacterial small subunit ribosomal RNA", at positions 524 to 791 of the family's 1533-position model. The record is from RNAcentral.